CCUACGGGAGGCAGCAGUAAGGAAUCUUCCACAAUGGACGAAAGUCUGAUGGAGCAAUGCCGCGUGCAGGAUGACGGCCUUCGGGUUGUAAACUGCUUUUAUAUAGGAAGAUUAUGACGGUACUAUAUGAAUAAGGACCGGCUAACUACGUGCCAGCAGCCGCGGUAAUACGUAGGGUCCAAGCGUUAUCCGGAAUCACUGGGCGUAAAGCGUGCGUAGGUGGCGUGUUAAGUGAGAUGUUAAAGCGCGGGGCUCAACCCUGUCGUUGUAUCUCAUACUGGCAUGCUAGAGGACAGCAGAGGCAAGUGGAAUUUGUAGUGUAGCAGUGAAAUGCGUAGAUAUUACAAGGAACACCAAUGGCGAAGGCAGCUUGCUGGGCUACUCCUGACACUGAGGUACGAAAGCGUGGGGAGCGAACAGGAUUAGAUACCCUGGUAGUCCACGCCGUAAACGAUGCAUACUAGUUUUGUGGGGUAUCGACCCCCUGCGAAACGAAGCUAACGCGAUAAGUAUGCCGCCUGGGAAGUACGGCCGCAAGGCUAAAACUCAAAGGAAUUGACGG
Molecule: ribosomal RNA, 562 nt
Filed under: uncultured bacterium
Lineage: Bacteria
Description: bacterial SSU rRNA
Rfam family: Bacterial small subunit ribosomal RNA
Source: RNAcentral